RNAcentral lists this ribosomal RNA (920 nucleotides) under Xiphinema afratakhtehnsis. RNAcentral's name for it is "partial 28S ribosomal RNA". It matches the Rfam family "Eukaryotic large subunit ribosomal RNA", at positions 417 to 1111 of the family's 3401-position model. Lineage: Eukaryota; Metazoa; Nematoda; Enoplea; Dorylaimida; Longidoridae. The record is from RNAcentral.
AAACGGACGGAGCCGUCUGUGACCCGUCGGAAUCAGUCGAAUCGAUGCGUGAAGGCGAGUAUGACAUAAAACGGAACGAAAGUCCGGUCGUCUCGUAGUAAACAGUAGCGCUCGUUCGAUGCAUUUCCGAAGGGUAAGCACCGCGACCGAUGUCGAAGGCUAGUGAAGCCGUCGGAUUGAGGUCGAGCUCGUUUCUCGAGUCUCGUUACCAGUCCUUCGGUAUGAAUAGAAUUCGCUGGACCCUAGCAUCGAGAAUAAAAGCGAAUGUCGGUGAACUAUACGCUCACCUGCUACGAUGGACGUGCGGCCGUUCGAUCGUCGCCUGCUCGCAGGUUACGGUUUGAAUCAGGUUCGUAUCCGAAGUCGUCGGUGACGUUUUGACAUUCAGGCAUCCGCGGUGUCCGAGUCGGUCACCCGUCCGACCCGUCUUGAAACACGGACCAAGGAGUCUAACGUAAGCGCGAGCUAAUGGGUGGAAAACCUAUAAGCGAAAUAAAAGUAAAAGCCGUUUCGGACGGCCGAGGUACGAUCCCGAAGAGCGAAGUAUCUUCGGGCGCAGUACCAUCCCGUCCCGACCGCUUGUCGGUAGGGCGGAGAUAGAGUGCAUACGUUGGGACCCGAAAGAUGGUGAACUAUGCCUGAGCAGAGCGAAGCCAGAGGAAACUCUGGUGGAGGUUCGUAGCGGUUCUGACGUGCAAAUCGAUCGUCAGACUUGGGUAUAGGGGCGAAAGACUAAUCGAACCAUCUAGUAGCUGGUUCCCCCUGAAGUUUCCCUCAGGAUAGCUGAUACUCAGGGAAUAACGAAGUUUUAUCCGGUAAAGCGAAUGAUUAGAGGCCUUGGGGACGAAAUGACCUCAACCUAUUCUCAAACUUUAAAUGGGGUAAGAAGUCGAGCUUGCUCGAUCGAAGCCCGGCAUAUU